This 241-nucleotide long non-coding RNA is filed under the name Mytilus galloprovincialis (Mediterranean mussel). Lineage: Eukaryota; Metazoa; Mollusca; Bivalvia; Mytilida; Mytilidae. The record is from RNAcentral.
AUAUUUUGGACUUUAAAGAUGCCGUUGUUCUUUGUCGAUUUCGAACGACCAAUAACAAAUUGCCGAUUGAAACAGGAAGGUGGCAAAACGUAUUGAGAGAAAACCGUGUUUGCCAUCUAUGUAAAAAUUGACAAAUUGAUGACGAAUAUCACUAUAUAUUUGAAUGUACUUUUUUCGAUCAAAAACGUACAGAGUAUUUGUCCUCCUAUUUCGUACAACGACAUAAUACAUUUAAAUUCUC